GAUUAUGUGGGGUUAUGUGAACCACUUCGUUAGCUCCGCCUCCUUUUCUUGCUCUGAACCAGAGAAAAAUAGAGAGAAAGAGUGUGUGUGUGUGUGUGUGUUUUGGGCGAGCUGAAUCGUAAGAGCAUGGUGUUCCUCCACCUUCAAAGCUACUAUGUUGCCGUCGUCGUCGUUAGCUCCAAAGAGGGCAAUUCCAGUUACUGCGGCUACGACAAAAAUCGUCUAAAAUCGUGAACGUCGCUCGCUGUAAUCAAUGCAUUUGAAGAAUCUGCAAUGACUGAUAGAGAGCAUAGUCGACGAUGACGCAAGGAUUAUGUCGUUGAUAUGGGCAAUCUGGCCAUGCUAACUCUCAAGGAUUUGAAGAUCAAUCAUUCAUUUUGAUUGGUGGAAUACGGCCCUGUUAUUUGUUCAGCCUCAGGGUUUCAAAUCUGGGAUGAAGGAAUCUUCCAGCUGCCACCACGACACCUUCUUAGCUACUACAGAUCAUGGCUUUCCCUCAGGGUAAGUAAUUAUUACAUACCUAUGAGUCAUUUUUAUGGGUGUAAUGGACAAGUUCUAGAAGGGGGUUUUUAAUUAGGCUAAAGUUUUGAGAGAUGAUAGUCUUGUAAUGGAUUGAAUGCUUAGCUAGCAAUUGAUACCUUUGCUGGUCAUCCCAUUGGCUUCAUUAAUAUAGCAUAUCAAAUUUACAACUCAUUGGUGCACUAAAAUGAAAAACCAAACACUCUGAUCAUGUUACUCAAGCCGAAAACAUCAUAUGUAUUCAGUAAGUUGUCAAAGACCAAGCUACCCAAAGAGAUGAUUGGUUUCAUUCAUGUUAAACUGUGAAGCUUUUACAUAAGUAAAAUCAGUAUCUUGUCGUUCCCAUUUUCGGACUCAAUAUUUUUUGCUUUUAUCUACUUAUUGCUGGUUCAUUUCGAUUGAUAACAUUGGGAUUACAUGUACUUGCUGGUAUUCUUCAGGAUGCUUAAGGAUUACAGUAAUAUGAAUUAUUUGAGUUCUAGGUGGACAUGACGAAGAAGGAUUCUGAUUUCAUCAAGUUGCUUGAGGGUGAGCUCCAGAAUUCAAAAGAAUUUUUCGUAGAGAAAGAGGAAGAGCACAUCAUCGUCAUCAUCAUGCUGCAUUAGAAAUAUCAUGAAGAACCACACACGACAUAUUUGCAUCCUCUCUUGCCCUUACGAUUCCUCUUAUCCAAGUCGGGCCCUCAACUAAUGAAUCAUUUAACUGUUGCGUAGAGAAAGAAUAGCAUGAAGAAUGAGGGCUUUGCAAGAAGUUGUUCCGAGCUGCAACAAGUCAUAUGGAAUAAAAAUUGGGUACGGUGGAAUCUCUAGGUCUUCCGGGGUUACAGAUGACUCCUCUUCUCAGGGUGGAGGUUGUUGCAGCUGAGGCUUGGAGAUAUAUGUGCUGUAAGUGUAAUUAUCAGCGUUCUUUUUCUCCUCAACCCUAUUUGGUUUUUGCCCUUAAUGACGUUAUCUGUGCGUAAAUGUUAUCCUUAGGUUUACAAUACGUGCUUUUCCAAACUGAUUUUUUCAACGGGCAUGACGGACGUGCCUUGCACGUCACGAUGUAC
Molecule: long non-coding RNA, 1567 nt
Organism: Rhododendron vialii
Lineage: Eukaryota; Viridiplantae; Streptophyta; Magnoliopsida; Ericales; Ericaceae
Exons: 6
Source: RefSeq, a predicted model, not a curated record